Molecule: non-coding RNA, 167 nt
Filed under: marine eukaryotic metagenome
Description: 6S / SsrS RNA
Rfam family: 6S / SsrS RNA
About the family: E. coli 6S RNA was the first non coding RNA to be sequenced, but its function was unknown until recently. It consists of 184 nucleotides that fold into an extended hairpin structure with a large single-stranded internal bulge.
Source: RNAcentral
CCCCUGCCGUGUUCGUGAUUGGGAGAAACGCUUUGACCCAACACUUCACAUUUGGGAGCUGUCCCUGGUUUCGGUGAGCAAGUUCUGCUUGUACAGAAAAGCCUAAAGAUUCCAAAUGGCUUCCCCUUUGAACCGCUGGUUCAAAGACCUCUCAACACGGCACAGUG